Molecule: ribosomal RNA, 322 nt
Filed under: Ehrlichia canis
Lineage: Bacteria; Pseudomonadati; Pseudomonadota; Alphaproteobacteria; Rickettsiales; Anaplasmataceae
Description: bacterial SSU rRNA
Rfam family: Bacterial small subunit ribosomal RNA
Source: RNAcentral
GUACGGAAUAGCCAUUAGAAAUGGUGGGUAAUACUGUAUAAUCCCCGAGGGGGAAAGAUUUAUCGCUAAGAGAUGAGCCUACGUUAGAUUAGCUAGUUGGUGAGGCGAUGGCUUACCAAGGCUAUGAUCUAUAGCUGGUCUGAGAGGACGAUCAGCCACACUUGAACUGAGAUACGGUCCAGACUCGUACGGGAGGCAGCAGUGGGGAAUAUUGGACAAUGGGCGAAAGCCUGAUCCAGCUAUGCCGCGUGAGUGAAGAAGGCCUUCGGGUUGUAAAACUCUUUCAAUAGGGAAGAUAAUGACGGUACCUAUAGAAGAAGUC